GACGAACGCUGGCGGCGUGCUUAACACAUGCAAGUCGAACGGUGAAGCGCCUUCCUUUUUGGUGGGUGUGGAUGAGUGGCGAACGGGUGAGUAACACGUGAGUAACCUGCCCCCUUCUUCUGGAUAACCGCAUGAAAGUGUGGCUAAUACGGGAUAUUCUGGGUCUGUCGCAUGAUGGGUCUGGGAAAGAUAUUGUUUCGGUGGGGGAUGGGCUCGCGGCCUAUCAGCUUGUUGGUGGGGUGAUGGCCUACCAAGGCGGUGACGGGUAGCCGGCCUGAGAGGGUGGACGGUCACACUGGGAAUGAGACACGGCCCAGACUCCUACGGGAGGCAGCAGUGGGGAAUAUUGCACAAUGGGCGCAAGCCUGAUGCAGCGACGCCGCGUGAGGGAUGGAGGCCUUCGGGUUGUGAACCUCUUUCGCCAGUGAAGCAGGCCUGCCUCGUUUGUGGGUGGGUUGACGGUAGCUGGAGAAGAAGCGCCGGCUAACUACGUG
Molecule: ribosomal RNA, 494 nt
Filed under: uncultured bacterium
Lineage: Bacteria
Description: partial 16S ribosomal RNA
Rfam family: Bacterial small subunit ribosomal RNA
Source: RNAcentral